CACACGACUCUCGGCAACGGAUAUCUCGGCUCUCGCAUCGAUGAAGAACGUAGCGAAAUGCGAUACCUGGUGUGAAUUGCAGAAUCCCGCGAACCAUCGAGUCUUUGAACGCAAGUUGCGCCCGAGGCCACCCGGCUGAGGGCACGCCUGCCUGGGCGUCACGC
Molecule: ribosomal RNA, 164 nt
Filed under: Stipellula capensis
Lineage: Eukaryota; Viridiplantae; Streptophyta; Magnoliopsida; Poales; Poaceae
Also listed under: 26 other names
Description: Stipa capensis 5.8S ribosomal RNA
Rfam family: 5.8S ribosomal RNA
About the family: 5.8S ribosomal RNA (5.8S rRNA) is a component of the large subunit of the eukaryotic ribosome. It is transcribed by RNA polymerase I as part of the 45S precursor that also contains 18S and 28S rRNA.
Source: RNAcentral